Molecule: small nucleolar RNA, 107 nt
Organism: Dioscorea cayenensis subsp. rotundata (Guinea yam)
Lineage: Eukaryota; Viridiplantae; Streptophyta; Magnoliopsida; Dioscoreales; Dioscoreaceae
Source: RefSeq, a predicted model, not a curated record
AUUCCAUGAGGCGGGCAUUUUCUCAACAUUUCUUUGUAUCUUUCCCAAGCAUUGUAUAAAAAUUCAGACUCUAUCUGUGUAAAGGAGGAUAUGUCAUUCCUCAACUU